CCACGCCUACGGGAGGCAGCAGUGGGGAAUAUUGCACAAUGGGGGAAACCCUGAUGCAGCGACGCCGCGUGAGUGAAGAAGUAUUUCGGUAUGUAAAGCUCUAUCAGCAGGGAAGAAGAUGACGGUACCUGAGUAAGAAGCCCCGGCUAACUACGUGCCAGCAGCCGCGGUAAUACGUAGGUGGCGAGCGUUAUCCGGAUUUACUGGGUGUAAAGGGCGUGUAGGCGGGAUUGCAAGUCAGAUGUGAAAACUAUGGGCUCAACCCAUAGCCUGCAUUUGAAACUGUAGUUCUUGAGUGCUGGAGA
This 305-nucleotide ribosomal RNA is filed under the name uncultured bacterium. RNAcentral's name for it is "bacterial SSU rRNA". It matches the Rfam family "Bacterial small subunit ribosomal RNA", at positions 333 to 655 of the family's 1533-position model. The record is from RNAcentral.